CGGGAAGCCAGACCCAGAGCCGGAUGCGCCGCGAGGAGGAUGGAGUCUCUUGACAGCCUCCGGGGGCUGCUGUGACCUUUGACCAUCUGAUUCCAGAUUUUUUUCCUGCUCUUCUUUUUAUUUCCUCCCCUCGCCAUCCAUCCAUCCAUCGUGCAGUCAAUGACUGCCUCUCGCUCCGUUCCGAGAGAGGAGACCAUGAUUGAGUGAAGCCACCCUGUCUGCAACCAGGAAAAGCACAAAGAAGCACCUGCAGCAAUGGCCAAGCUGACAGAAUCCAUGACUAACGUCCUGGAGGGCGACUCCAUGGACCAGGACGUGGAGAGCCCCGUGGCCAUUCACCAGCCAAAGUUGCCUAAGCAGGCCAGGGACGACCUGCCGAGACACAUCUGCCGAGACCGGACCAAAAGGAAAAUCCAGAGGUACGUGCGGAAGGACGGGAAGUGCAACGUGCACCAUGGCAACGUGAGGGAGACCUACCGCUACCUGACCGACAUCUUCACCACCUUAGUCGACCUCAAGUGGAGGUUCAACCUGCUGAUCUUCGUCAUGGUUUACACAGUCACGUGGCUCUUUUUUGGGAUGAUCUGGUGGCUAAUAGCGUAUAUCCGAGGAGAUAUGGACCACAUAGAGGACCCGUCGUGGACUCCCUGCGUCACCAACCUCAACGGGUUCGUCUCUGCUUUUUUAUUCUCAAUAGAGACAGAAACCACCAUCGGUUAUGGCUACCGGGUCAUCACGGACAAGUGCCCGGAGGGGAUUAUUCUCCUCUUAGUCCAGUCGGUGUUGGGGUCCAUUGUCAAUGCAUUCAUGGUGGGAUGCAUGUUUGUCAAAAUAUCGCAACCCAAGAAGAGGGCAGAGACCCUGGUGUUCUCCACCCACGCGGUGAUCUCCAUGCGGGACGGGAAGCUGUGCCUGAUGUUUCGCGUCGGGGACCUCAGGAAUUCCCACAUCGUGGAGGCCUCCAUCCGAGCCAAGCUGAUCAAAUCCAAACAGACCUCAGAGGGGGAGUUCAUCCCCUUGAACCAGACGGACAUCAACGUCGGGUAUUACACCGGGGACGACCGGCUGUUCCUGGUGUCGCCUCUCAUCAUCAGUCACGAAAUCAACCAACAGAGUCCUUUCUGGGAAAUCUCCAAAGCCCAGCUGCCCAAAGAGGAACUGGAGAUCGUGGUCAUCCUGGAAGGAAUGGUGGAAGCCACAGGGAUGACAUGCCAAGCUCGGAGCUCCUACAUCACCAGCGAGAUCCUGUGGGGGUACCGGUUCACCCCGGUCCUGACGCUGGAGGACGGGUUCUAUGAAGUCGACUACAACAGCUUCCACGAGACCUAUGAGACCAGCACCCCCUCCCUCAGUGCCAAAGAGCUGGCUGAGCUGGCCAGCAGGGCAGAGCUGCCCCUCAGUUGGUCUGUGUCCAGCAAACUCAACCAACAUGCGGAACUGGAGACCGAAGAGGAAGAAAAGAACCUCGAGGAGCAAACAGAAAGGAAUGGUGAUGUGGCCAACCUCGAGAACGAGUCCAAAGUGUAGUCCCCCAGCCGGGCCUCUCCUCCCCAACCUUUCCCCAGGCCAGCCGCCCCUUCUCCUGUCCCCACAACCUUUCCUCUGGCCAGGCCACCCCUUCCCCUGUCCCCCCAACCUCUCCUUGUCUCUCAUCCUCCUGCUUUCUGCCUCUCUUACUUUGUUCUUCCUUUAUUUGUAUUUAAUUUUGGCAUUACCAGAAAACAAAUCUUCAAGGUGUAAAAUCUCUGCCUGCCCUCCCUCAGUUACUCUGAUUGAAGAGGUAGACACGAUUUGGUUAAGGUGUAAGGUGCCCUCGUUGAUGGCCCAAGCCUGUCUCCUUCCUAAAUUCCACACACCCAACUCCUAGAGAUUUAAGCUACUGACCUGCAUGUGCUGUACAAGACCAGAUCACUCACAAGAGUGUGGCGAACAUGUGACCUGGGAUACACAUUAGGCCCAGUGUCUGUUCGUUCCUGCAGUGAGACACAGAGGGUAGCCCUCACUUUCCUAGAUCCCCACACAGUUCAUCUCCAGGGCAGGUGCUUGCCCCCCAAGGGCAUCACAGGUGUAGGACCCAGGUGAGGCAAAGACAAAACACUGUACAUAUAUAUGCCUUAUGUAAGUAUUUUCUUUGGCAGUUAUUAAUAAAACCCAGCAUGUACAAAAGUACUGUAGAACACAACUUCUAAAUAAUGUACAUAGAUAUAUAAUUAGUGUAGGUUUAGAUAUAUAACUUUAGAAAUAAGAUGAAAGAAAAAAGAUUCUCACUGUACAGUAGGCAUUUCCGUUCUGAUGUCUUUUUCUGAAUUGCUUUGAUCCCAUUGACUGCUGGCCCUUUCGUGCAUGGCCUUUGUUCUGUGUCCCAGACUGGCAGCCCGUUCAGGUACCUCACUGUUCCCUCACUGAUCCUUUCGUUGAAUCUAAUAAGCCAUAGGUCUGGGGGGAGUUGGGAGGUCCAGCAGAUGGCAAAACGCACCACCAAUACACUGAUAUACUGUGAAAUGUUUACAAACUGAGGCCUCUUGUUUAAGACAACCAGGGCCUCACUGACCAGCCUGGGGAAGAAUUCCCCGAGGACAUUCUCGGGCUUGUCACCAAUGACAUGUUCAUGCUUUUCACACGAGCGCUCACCCUUUGUAGUUUGGGACACUCUUCUGCAAAACCACUGAUUCUCCAGCGGUUCCAUUCCGUAGUCACGAGAAACUACAGACUUUUACAAGGAGACAUGGCAGUCGCCCAUCAUCAAUAUCCACUGACUGGAGGCAAGUUCAUUGUCAGCUCCCACAGCUGUGCUCAGUUUGAGGCUCUGCACCGAGGAAGUCCAAGAACUCAAACUAGCCGUGCCUCCCUGUUGACCUUGCUCUCCCGCACCAGAUCACCCAGGCCUUCGCCAUAGUGGAGGGACCUUGUCUACUAAAAAGCGUGUGUGGGAGAUAAGGAGAGCGGCUCCUCAGUCUAUCACGGGGCCUCUCUUCUCCCAUUUCCAAGACUUUGCAUCAGGACAACUGCUUCUUGGCACUGACUUUCUGGAGAACAAACCUGUUGGCCAUAGCCCCUUCCUGUUUGCCAACAUCUCACUCUGCGUUGAAUAUCUGUUGAAUCGUUUAUUCUUUCCACACUCUGAGGAGGUUGCAGUCAAAGAGGAGGAGGGAGCCCCACACGCUUCCUGCCAGGCUGUGGGAGGGAUUGUGGCCUUUCCUCCAUGUACGUACGUACGUAGCCUUAUACAGGGCGCUCUUGACUCUUGGGCGCUCACCCUACAGCACCCCCAGAGCUGCAGGGCGUGGCCUGGUAGCACAAAGCGAAAUCGAGCAGGGGUUGCAAAAAGUCUGCUAAUUUAGCUCUUGAAGACUCACUGGGCCUUUUUAAAACAGUUACUAAGGCUUAAAGGACCACACACGCCCUGUUGUCUGGUGGGAACAGCAGCUCGGGGCCCGUUAGCACAACUGAACAAAGAGCCUGACAGCCCUUGGUCACGCACAUGGCGGUCGGUUCUGUCACGGUGACAGGGCCCCCCCGGGGUGAGGCCCUCCCUAUCCCCACUGUCUUUGGUGUCCAUGUAGUUGGAGACAGAACAUGAACCAAAUCUCGUUUUUGUAACGUGAGCCUCUGAGUCUCUCAACGAGGAUGUUCCAGAAGACCCUUUUACUAGAAUGUCCCGCGCAAACAUGUCUAUUUUUCUACAAUUAUUGAUAACAGUUUAACGGUGUAUUUUGUGUCAACUGUUCAAAUUUGGAACGG
RNA transcript from Myotis brandtii (Brandt's bat), 3741 nucleotides. It is a transcript of the gene named potassium channel, inwardly rectifying subfamily J, member 6, with no coding region annotated. The record is from RefSeq and is a predicted model, not a curated record. The transcript has 5 exons. NCBI's taxonomy places the organism in Eukaryota, Metazoa, Chordata, Mammalia, Chiroptera, Vespertilionidae.